AAUAAUGGUCCAUAAAAAAGGAGGGUGGGCCUAUUAAUUCCUAACUAACCCAGGUAGUAACUCCAGUUAACAUAUCCUGUCGUCUCAUUCCUCUGCUAUAUAACAACCCCUUGGGUUAAGUCUAUGAAAUNNNNNNNNNNNNNNNNNNNNUUUCCCUCAUUUUACUUUUAUCAAUGGCAUCUGCAGAUGUUGAAUACCGGUGCUUCGUUGGUGGUCUAGCAUGGGCCACCGACAACGAUGCCCUCCAGAAAGCCUUCUCACAAUACGGUGAAGUCAUCGACUCGAAGGUCCGUUUGUUGCAGCCGGCGGAUCUGACACGAUUAUGAUUCGGAUUCGUCUCGAUCCUAUUCUGAUCUGUGAUCUGUUGUGUUACUUGAUUGAUCUAUUAUUCUCUACUGAUUCUGUUACUGUUACUGUUACUAUAUCAUAUCGUUCUUUUAUUACUCACACCAAUAGGUACGUUCAUCUUCAACCUUGAAUUAAAGGCGAAGAUCGAUCGGUUACUAUUCGGUUCUGGAUCUGUUUUUAUCGUGUUUCAUUAGAUCUGAUCUUUGAUUAUUGAUUUUAUGUGUGCAGAUUAUUACCGAUCGUGAGACUGGAAGGUCAAGAGGUUUCGGAUUUGUGACGUUUACGUCGGAGCAAUCUAUGAGAGAUGCAAUUGAAGCGAUGAACGGUCAGGAUAUGGACGGACGUCAUAUUACCGUGAAUGAAGCUCAGUCCCGUGGUAGUGGUGGUGGAGGCGGCCGUGGUGGUGGUGGAUAUGGUGGUGGAGGUGGUUAUGGUGGUGGGCGCCGUGAAGGUGGAUACAAUAGAAGCAGUGGUGGUGGAGGAGGAUAUGGUGGUGGAGGUGGCUAUGGUGGAGGAGGUGGUGGUGGUUAUGGUGGUGGUAGGGAUCGUGGAUAUGGUGGUGGUGGUGAUGGUGGUUCCCGCUACUCUCGUGGUGGAGGUGGUGGUGGUGGUGGAAACUGGAGAGAUUAGUGUAUUAGAUGUUAAGUUUGGUUCAAUCUAUUAUGAUUAUGUAUUUUCUGAUGUUAUUAUUGAUCUAGAAUUGGGCAUCUGUUCUGUUAUGUGGCUUCGUUUUACGUGUAUUUGUAUUUCUGCAUCCGUUAGUGUAUAAACGUGCCUUUUUCUAUGAUAAUUUAGUUACUUUGUAGAUUGAUUAUGUUAUAACAAUACUUUAAAGUGAUGAGUUUAGAUCAAAUAUGAGGUAUUAUAUGUUUCAUCAUUUCACCGUUAAAAAUGACUUGGAUUUACAUCAAAUAUAUUUUAAUGGCGAGAUAAUUAAGAUGAUUCCCUUCUAAAUUUGAACAUGAAAGUAUUCUAAUUCAUGUUGGCAUAGAACUAUUUCAGAGGUCCUAAUAUUCUUCUAAAUCUAUUUGGACCUAUCAGUCCAUCUAAAUUAUGAUCUCCAAGAUCAAACACUUAUUAGCACUGUUACACCUUUGAACAAAAUGUUAUAGCUAAUGGAUGCUCUUAAGUCUCAACAAAAAUUGAGUUAAUUGGGACUUCAAACAGUGUACUCUUUAAUUUGAUAAUAAUAAAGAGGUGGGUUUAAAUGAAACUAUAGUGUCGACUUAAUUUUUGACAUCAAAUCUCACCCCUUUGUUUUGAUUUGAUGCUAAGUGAUUUACUCAAGCUAUUGUGAACUGUCAGUAUCCAUAUCAACAACUAGAUUGUUCGGGUAGAAACUAGCAAGUGAAACAAGGUAUUAUGAGAAUUUGAAGAACUGUUUCUUUUUUUUUUUUUUUUGACGAGAUUGAAGAACUGAAUUAAAAAGCCGAGUAAACUUAAUUUCAACAAUGUAAAUAAAUAACCAGAAAUUGAUUAGCAAAUAAAUUGUGAUUCUAACGGAUGAUGUGUUAUUCGUUUACAUCCUCCACCAUUGUAUAUCCUUACUAUUGUUCCUAGUGCAAUAGUAGCGGCCUAGUGUCGAGACAUCACAAUUCACAGUCAAAGUAUUUGAGAUAAGAAGCAUGAUUUAGAAGUCGGUCGUAAAUUGAAAACAGAGUCAUNNNNNNNNNNNNAAUGCCGAGACAAAUUUAGAAUUUGCUAUUCAAAACCACAUUCCAAAUAUCAAAUUGAUAAUGACAAUUACUAUUGGAGAGUGUGAGGGAGCCCAAUAGUAAAAAUGGAAUGAACGUCGACGAUACGUGAAAGAUUUUGACCGAUAUAUGAGUAAGCUCUCUUAUAUCUCUCACAUUUUUUCCAUUCUUUAUUGAUGUGAAGCUAAUCAUUUGCAUUUGAAUUUCAACAAGUGAUAUCAAAGCUAUAAUUCGGCUUGGUGGGGAAGCAUGAGUGGAUUCUGGUGUUGAAUCAAUUGGUAAUAACAUUACCGUUAGUAAUAACGACAAUACAACUAUAUGAUGCAUGAGACUCACACACUUGAGGGGGAAAUUGUUUGAUUCAAGUGUAAGUGAUAAAGUUUCACGUCCACAAAAAAUGUGGUAAAUGUUUGAAUAAAGGAAUGAUGACUCGUACACUUAAGCAUUAAGGUUUUGGGUUGAAAUGUGGUGUCAAAGUCUCUUGUGAUCUUAGAGCAUUAAAUAACAUGGAAAUUCCAAAAUCGAAGAAAAAAUCACGACCAUUAUCUACAACUUUCUCUUCAUUUAUAAUUCUAAGAGCAUCUACGGCGGUGAACUCAAUAUGGGUUCUUUAGAUGGGGUCCACUGUGCCACAUCAUCUUGAAGUAAUUCACUCAUUUUCUACUUCAACGGUGAACUCAACAUGAUUCCACGUCACCCUAAAUCAAAUCAUUCAUUUUUUAUGGUUUAACUUUUAAAAAAUCAUAUUAUAUUCCAUUACUUUAAUUUAUACAUUAAUAUUUAAUUUUAUUAUAAUUUAAAAUAUUAAUUUAAAUGGAAAAAUAAAUAAAAAAGUACGUUAAUAAAAACUUUAAUAAACUUCUGUAACAAAAAUUGUGAAGAAAAUGUAUGAGUAACAAAUUGUUUCUAUUAAUGAGCUAACAAUCGUUAUUAAAAGAGAAAAAAAAAAAACUAACGGUGGUAUAUUAACUAAAAAAAACUAAUGGUUACAAAAUUAUUAUUAUUUAAUAAAUUAAAAAGAAGUUAACGGCUAUAAAUUAAUAAAAAAAAUUAUAAAUUUAUUAUUAUUAAUAAAUUAAUAAAAGGUAGCGGUUAUAAUUAUAUUAUUAUUAAAUUGUGAAAGUAGAUAAAAAAAAAACAAAAAAAAGUAACUGCUAUAAAGCACCGUUCCUUCCUGACAGUACCGUGAUGACACCUUGGCACAACUCCAACGGUGAACCCACAAAAAACUGGAAGUUAAGUAAUUACACGCUGACGGACGAACUCAUUUUCACUCCGGUUGUAGAUGCUCUAAGCAAUUUGAGACUUUUUCAAAUCCUCAAUUUCAAUCAAACCUAAUAAUCUCCACCUAGAUUAAAAUUGACGAAUCUUCAACUUUCAUUAUCUACACUGACAAUCCUAAUUCAAAAGAACCACCAUACUCCACCAUAAAAAUUAUACUUCACUUGAAGCCAAACCACUUCAAAAAAAAUGUCUCCAUGUCGAAACCAUGCUGAAAAAUAUAGUGCAACCUCCAUCUCCAUGUAGGUUUUCUCAAGAAAUUCUCUAGCAACCGACAUAAUUUAACCACACAUCUUGCAUCAAUGACAACCAAUGUUCAUGUGUUAGCCAACACAUUGUGUAAUUCUGAUUGUAUCAACAUAAUAUUGACUUGAAUUUUCCACAAGACAAAUAUGAUUCUUCCAUCAAAUUUCUUUAUCCCAAACACCAUAGCGGAACUUGACAUAUUGUAAUUGUGCACCAAGUAGGAUCUCAGGAAGAAAGGUGGGUCAUAAAAGACCACUUAAUAAUUAUGUCUUUCCUUAGCCAGAACUUUUCCUAAACAACACUUCUACAAUAUAACCUUUCUUUCCUAAUGUGGGAUAUCAACAAAGUUGCAACAACAUAACAUACUAAGAGUUUUGUUUCUCUAAACCAAACCAAAAGCUAUUGAUACCACUUAUUGAGGAGUUUGGAGAAGCGCGACAAUAAUAAUACUUCUCUUAUAUAUCAAAUAUUUCCUCAAUUUUUAAUCGAUGUUAGAUUAACCACUUACACUUGAACUCCAACAAUCAUAUCAUCUAACGAAAGUGACUAGUACGCAAUAUGUGAGUGUGUGUUGUAAAUGUUAGAGUACAAAUUCCAUUUCUAUUCAUAAAAAAUAUUGUUAAUGACGAGUUUUGUUUUACUUUUUCAAAACAACCUUAAAAUAGCAUGUUCAUAUUAUGUAAAGUGAGAUUUUUUAGAUUAUUUGAAUAGUUUCUCCAGUUAUAUGCAAAUGUUUAUUGUUGAAUGUUGAUCAAUUUUUCUUGUUUAAGAUCCAUGAUCAUUAUGUGCUCUGGUCCUCAUAUAGUAAUGUAUGAAUGAGAUUGGAUUUUCUCAACUAUUUAUAUUAAUUAUGCAUUCUUUUGGUGCAAUGCUAUGAAUUUGCAUUUUUUUUUCAUGCAAAUUAUUGCUUGAAAUGCUUUCUUCAUCAAGUUACAUUCAAACUAAGUUUUCUGUCUUUAUUUUCAAUUCAACUUAUAAACAAAAGUUACCACCAAAAGAGAUUUUUCACGGUGGUUUUUUAAAACAUGGAAUUAUCUUUUUUUAGGUUAGACCUUUGAAGUGUGUCAAGUUGACACUUUUAAUUCGUUUGAAAGCUACCAUAUAUAAAAGUAAUUUAUCAAUUAAUAUAUAUACAAAAUGCUCAUCAUAUUAAGUCAUGGCUCUCGGACAAUAUCUUUAUCGGUUAAUACCUUUCUUUAUUUUAUUAAUUUAAAAUUCCAUUAUGGUCGAUUCAGUUAAUUCAAUUUUUUUUAACUUUCGAAAAGCAAUUUCAAAAUAAAUUUUAAAAAAGUAGUACAAGCAUAAUAUUGAAAGAUAAAAAAAUAACCCUUUUAAUAGUGUUUUUCUUAGUUAGUCUUUACUCUCUACUCGUUCAAGACAAUGUUGUUCAGUUCAAACCAACAAGAAAAAACACAAAAGAGUUAGAAAACGAAAACCUUAAAACAAAAAACAAAAAAAAUUGAUAGAGAAAGGUAAAAACAAUAUUCAACGGAAUCUAGGAGUUUAAGAAAUAUGAUAAUGACAAAGUUAUAGAGCUAUAAGAACGAGUGAGUUGAGAAAUUCAGAAACAGAUAAGAACUUACGAGAAUGAGAGAGAAGACCAGAGAGGCUAGUGCAAAAAGGAACUUACGAGACUGAAAAAGAGGACCACAACAACUUCUGGUCAGAGGAGAGGAAUUAUGGUUGAUUUGAAAUAUUUUUGUUUUUAUAGAGAGGACCUGGUGACUUGGUUUGUGAUGUUCAACCGUAGUUUGUACAACGUAACAACAUCGGCAGGAACAACAAUGUGUGGAACAUAACAACAUUCUAUGGAAAACGUAACAACACCUGCAAAAAAACGUGUGUACAACGUUACAACAUGUAAUUUGAUGAAUCUGCACAACCUAUGUUAAAAAAAAAUUCAUAUUGCAUUUAAAAAACUAUAACGAAAAAAAUAGAAAAUGUAAACCCUAAAAUAGAAAGCAGAAAAAAAAAAUUAAUAAAGAAAAAGAAAGAAUGAGAAUGAGAAAAAUAUAAUCACAAUAGUAAUAUAAAAUUCAAGUAAAAAUAGAGUAAAAGCAUAAUAUUGAAAGAUAAUAUUAACAAUCUUUUAAUAUCCUUUGUUAAUCUUUACCCUCUACUCGAUCAAACCAAUGUUGUACAGUUCAGACUAACAAGAAAAACCACAAAAGAGUUAGAAAAUGAAAACCAUAAAACAAAAGAAAAAAAAAAUUGAUAGUAAUAAAUAAAAACAAGCUUCAACAAAAGUUGUGAGUUUGAGAAAGAUGAUAAUGACAGAGUUGUAGAACUCUAAGAACGGGAGAGUUGAGAAAUUAAGUAAGAGAUACGAACUUAGUGAGAUAGAGGACCACAUCAGUUAUUGUUCAGAUGAACUUACAAGAGUGAUAGACAAGACCACGACCGCUACUACUCAAAGGAGAGGAAUUAUGGUUUAUUUGAAUUUUGUUUUUGUUUUUAUACAUAUUGUUUCUUAAGUAGAUUGAACUGGACUCUUAAUGAGUUUUCCGACUCGGUCGAGUUUAGGUGCUGACUAUUAUUAUUUACAAAUCUGAAUCGACCCACCUACACCCAUUUGUACCCAUAAUCCAACUAGAUGACCUAGUUUGUGAUAAGAAUAAGAAGAAGAAGUCUUUACUCUUUCCAACUAAUGUUGUUCAAUUCAGACUAAAAAAGAAAAAACACAAAAGAGUUAGAAAACGAAAACCUUAAAACAAAAAACAAACAAAAAAUGAUAACGAAAAGAAAAAACAAGAUUCAGAAGUUCGGAAUUUGAGAAAGAUGACAAUGACAAGGUUGUAGAACUUUGAGAAUAAAAGAGUUGAGAAAUUGAGAAAGAGAUAAGAAUUUACUACAAAAGUGAGAGAGUGACAAGGAAGACCAUCGUAAUUACUUUUCAGAGGAGAUCAAUUAGGGUUGAUUUGAUAUAUUUUUUUUUUUUUUUGCUUUUAUACUUAAAGUUUCUUAAGUAGAUUGAAUUGGACUCUUAAUGUGGUUUCUAACUUGGUUGGGUUCGGGUACCAACUUUUGUUAUUUACAAAUCCGAAUCGGCCCACCUGCACCCACAUGUACUCGUAUUCCAAUCCGAUGACCUGGUUUGUGAUGUUCGACCCUAGUUUGUACAACGUAACAACAUCGAAGAUAUUACGGUCAGUUACUUUUACCGCUAAAUUGCUUUUGUUCUUUUAUUAAUUUCAAAUUCCAUUACGGUCAAUUCAUUAGAUUCAAAUUUUUUUGACUUUCGAAAAAAAAAAAUUCAAAAUAAAUUUCAAUCACGAAGAGAUUAUUAUGCUUACACUUGCUUCUCUGACGUCAUUCAUAUACAUAGAAACAUGUGAUAGUGCAAAUGUCAUUUUUCAUAUUUAUAAAAAUACAUUUGUCACUUUCAUUCACACUCAUUCAAAUAAUCAAGUUAUCAAAUUUUUCAUUUCAAUGCUUAAGAGCUUAUUUAAUACCAUAAGUAGAUUUAUCUAAGUUUACAUAUCUUGUUUUCUUGAACAUGAAUCACAAAACUUUCACGUUGUUCCAUAUAGAUUUCUUCUUACAAGUCACCAUUUAAAAAAAAAUGGUUUUGACAUUCAUUUGGUGUAUCUAAGUUAUGAACAACCUAUAAUGAGACGAGUACCCCAAUGGAUGUAGUUCUAGUGACCAGUGAAAAAGUGUCGAAGAAAUCCAUAUUUUCUCAUUGUCUAAAACAUUUGGCUACAAGGCGAGUCUUGUAUUAAUCAAAAACUCCAUCAGGUUUUAGUUUCUUUUUCAAUUCUCAUUAACAACCUAUUGGUUUGCAACUAGUAAGCAAUUCUACUAAAUGUUAAAUCUUGUUAGACUCUACAGAAUCUAUCCCAUCUUUUAUAGCUUAUUGCCAUAAGUUUGAAUUCAAAGAUGACAAAACUUCUUGAAGAUUUGCAUGAUCUUUUUCAAAGGUAUAGACCGUAUAAUCAAUUUUGUAAUCUUUAGCAACUAUGACUCUCUUACUUAUUUGAGGUUCUAUUUCGUCUUGUUUGUUGAUUUCAAUGCUCUUCGUCACAUGAGCGUAACUUGGUUCGUUGCCUCCACUAUUUCUCGAUUUGAAAAUGAAUUUAUUUUCAUAUAAGUCAAUAUCCUUUGCAUUUAGGUCAUAAUACCUAUAUGUUUUGCUCUUUACUGUACAUCCAAUUAAUACACAUUCAUAUGUUCUACUGGCGAGUUUAAAUCACUUGAGAUCAGAAAUUCUGAUAUAAGUUAGACAACCCCAAGUUCGGUUGUCUUUUCUUCAAAAUCUCAUAACGAGAUGUUUUAGUUUUUAGAUCUAUGAACUAUAUUGUGAACUAGGUCGCUUUCUUUAAGAUAUUUUGCGAAACUGCUCAAAUUGUGCAAGACACACUUUCAACUAUCCACCCCGAACUCCUUAGGAUAAAACAACCCAGAUGUAUUGGAGUUCAAUGAAGAAAAUCAUUCAUGAAAUACACCCUCAAUAUGGCAAGUUAAAGCCACCUAUAACAUGAUUAUGAACACUAAUAACUACGCCAUAAAAAACCACGAUAUUAGAACCACUCAAAUAAUAGAAAGACAACGAGAAAAGAGAAAGUUAGGAAUUGCAUCAACUUUGGUUAUUAUUAUUAUUAGGCUAAAUAUCACAUGUGGUCCCUUAACUUAAUUUUAGUUAACGUUUUAGUCCUUUAUCUUUUUUUUUCUCCCCAUUUAACUUAAUUCCGCAGAUGUAAUUUAGCUUUAUUAUUAUUAUUAUUAUUAUUAUUAUUAUUAUUAUUAUUAUUAUUAUUAUUAUUAUUAUUAUUAUUAUUAUUAUUAUUAUUAUUAUUAUUAUUAUUANNNNNNNNNNNNNNNNNNNNNNNNNNNNNNNNNNNNNNNNNNNNNNNNNNNNNNNNNNNNNNNNNNNNNNNNNNNNNNNNNNNNNNNNNNNNNNNNNNNNNNNNNNNNNNNNNNNNNNNNNNNNNNNNNNNNNNNNNNNNNNNNNNNNNNNNNNNNNNNNNNNNNNNNNNNNNNNNNNNNNNNNNNNNNNNNNNNNNNNNNNNNNNNNNNNNNNNNNNNNNNNNNNNNNNNNNNNNNNNNNNNNNNNNNNNNNNNNNNNNNNNNNNNNNNNNNNNNNNNNNNNNNNNNNNNNNNNNNNNNNNNNNNNNNNNNNNNNNNNNNNNNNNNNNNNNNNNNNNNNNNNNNNNNNNNNNNNNNNNNNNNNNNNNNNNNNNNNNNNNNNNNNNNNNNNNNNNNNNNNNNNNNNNNNNNNNNNNNNNNNNNNNNNNNNNNNNNNNNNNNNNNNNNNNNNNNNNNNNNNNNNNNNNNNNNNNNNNNNNNNNNNNNNNNNNNNNNNNNNNNNNNNNNNNNNNNNNNNNNNNNNNNNNNNNNNNNNNNNNNNNNNNNNNNNNNNNNNNNNNNNNNNNNNNNNNNNNNNNNNNNNNNNNNNNNNNNNNNNNNNNNNNNNNNNNNNNNNNNNNNNNNNNNNNNNNNNNNNNNNNNNNNNNNNNNNNNNNNNNNNNNNNNNNNNNNNNNNNNNNNNNNNNNNNNNNNNNNNNNNNNNNNNNNNNNNNNNNNNNNNNNNNUUAUUAUUAUUAUUAUUAUUAUUAUUAUUAUUAUUAUUAUUGGUUAGAUACCAAGAAAUAUACCCAAAGAUCGUACCUCCAUUUUAUAAACAAUAUAUAUACAAACUUCUACAUAUUUUUCAAUUCACAAUAACUAUAAGUUUCAACUUAACUUAAUUUCAAUAUGAUAUGGUACAUGAAGUAAAGGACUACUCAUUGACCAUAAGAGUUAUAACUUGGAUGUUGGUCAUGAUAUGUGUAUCUUUAUAAAUCAUUGGGUUUAUGGGGAUAUAUGAUUGGUCCUUGAAAAAAUCAAGUUUCACAUAAAUUGUCUUUAUGUUCAAAAAAAUAAAAAAUUAGACUACACAAUUGUUUAUGAUACAUGUUUUAGGACUAGGACUGAAAUUCAAAAUACUUUUUAAUAUUUGUACGACUAAAAACAUACAUACACAAUUACGAGGUUACAAAUUUAAAUUUAAAAAAUAAUGUAUAAUAUAAUAAUAUUAAUAUUUGAUAAUUGAAAUAGAACUUAAAAGACAAGACAAUUUAUUUUAUUUACAAAUAAUAGAUCAAUUAUUUAUUAUUUGUCUUUGUAUAUAUCCUUUAUCUUUUAAAAUGCAUAUAAAAUUACCUUAUUUUUUAUUUUUACUUUUCUGUCCAAAAAAUAAGAACCUAACAAUUUUUAUCUUCAAUUUAAAAUAAUAUUAUUUUAAUAUACAUAUUUAAUUAAAAAAAACUACAUUUAACUUUUCAUUAUAACAUGAUAUCAAUUUUUAUCUAUAAUUUUGUUUACUAAGGAACCCUUAAUAUAAAACGUAGCGAACAAUAUUGAAAACAUUGUACAACAAUUAUAGUUUAGUGAAUCAUAUAUUAUUUAUUAUUAUUAUUAUACUAUUUUAAAAUAAAACAUAAUAAAAAAUGUAUUUAAAAUUUGAAAUUUAAUUUAAUUUUUAAUUAAAUGUAUCAAUUUUUUAAUGCUGUUUCUAUUUAUAUUUAUUUCAAAAUAAAUAUUACAAUAAUUAAUAAUUAUUGCACCUAUAAUUUUAAAUGAAAGGAAGAAAAAUAUGUGAAAGAGAAUAUUCCACCAUAUACCAUACCAUGGCCCAACGGCGCACAAGUGAAAUCGAAAUCUACACAGCUGUCUCAUGAUAGGAUUCCACGUAGCCCUAACUCUAACCCAAAUCCUAACCCUAGUUGCGGAAUCCCCUGCUAUAAAUACCCUUUGCGUUCAGUGUAGAAAAUAUCUUCUUCAUUUCUAUUCACUCUAUCUAUCAUUUUAGUUUCUCAUCUUCUUUCAAUGGCCUCUUCCGCUGUUGAGUACCGUUGUUUCGUUGGUGGUCUAGCCGGUCCCCCCGACAGCGACGCCCUAGCCAAAGCCUUCUCUUCCUACGGCGAAGUUACUGAUUCCAAGGUCUGUUAGUUGCGGCGGAUCUGACACGAUUAUGAUUCGGAUUCUUCUCGAAACCAUUCUGAUCUGUGAUCUUUGAUCUGUUGUGUUACUUGAUCUAUUAUUUCACUGUUUCUGUUACUGUUACUAUAUCAUGAUUCUUUUAAUACUCACACCAAUAGGUACGUUCAUCUUCGUCUUUUAUACAAAGGAGAAGAUCGAUCGGUUACUAUUCGGUUAUGGAUCCGUUUUUUUGUUGUUGUGAUUUUUGGAUCUGAGAUUCUUGUGUUUUUUGUUUGUUUAGGUUAUUAACGACCGUGAGACUGGAAGGUCAAGGGGUUUUGGAUUUGUGACGUUUUCAACUGAGCAAUCCAUGAGAGACGCAAUUGAAGGGAUGAACGGUCAAGAUGUUGACGGACGUAACAUUACCGUGAACGAAGCUCAGUCUCGUGGUAGCGGUGGUGGAGGCGGCCGUGGUGGCGGUGGAUAUGGUGGAGGCGGUGGAUAUGGUGGUGGACGUCGUGAAGGUGGAUAUAACAGAGGUGGCGGUGGAGGAUAUGGUGGUGGAGGUGGAUAUGGCGGAGGAGGUGGUGGUGGUUAUGGUGGUAGCAGAGAUCGUGGAUAUGGUGGUGGUGAUGGUGGUUCUCGCUACUCACGUGGCGGUGAAGGUGGUGGAAACUGGAGGGACUAGAUUUAAGUUCUUCUUGUUGGGGUUUAUGAUUAAGAAUGUUCUCCUUGUCAUGUCACUUUAGUAGGUUUAAGAAAUUAGUGGUUUGGCUAUGGUAUUUAUCAUGUUAUGGUUUUGUGUUACUGUGGUUCUCGUUUUUGUACUCUGGAUCUGGUUGUGUAUAAACGAUCGAUUGAAAGUAUAAUGAGAAAUUAGUGUCAGCAAAUUUACCAACAUGUCUUUGAUUUUCCAGUUCCUCUUGCUCUGAAUUCGAAUUAAAUUCUCUUGAUACACUUAAAUUAACAUACUGAUUUUGAGAGACUAUAACUACUAAAAGUACCACGUCUAUAAUUACUCCUGCGGUUAGACGGUGAAAAUAUGUUUUUAUUAAUCAUAAUUAUUUUUGAACUCUUAAUUAAUUUUGCAAUUUGGAAAACCAUUGUUUUAAUACAACUGCAAGUCGUAGAGUUUUCAAGCAAAUGAGCUUCCAUGUUUCAUUUGCGGCCGACAUCAAAUGUUAGUAAAACAUGAUUCUCUCUUUGUAACAUUGCCCAAACUUCGGGCUUUGGUUUUAAACUUUGAGCCUAACUGGAGCAAUGUCUCCUAUUUGUGAGCUUCUUUAUUAACCUUUAUUUCAACAUAGAAUAAAAACCACCACCUGUCAUCCCCCAAUUGAUUUAACCAUAGGACGUACUAUUGUUAAGGGUUUAGCAUUCAAAAGGAUUUUCAAAAAGUUCUCGCACUUUUUGUUUGGUGCGCCAAUUUUUCAUUACAUGGAUUGUGGGAUGAAUAUAAAAAAAACAAACUAAACCCACAUGGAGGAUUGCAAUAAAGAGACAUAUAUAGAUAGCUAUAAAUUCAAUUUAUUGUUCCUUAACGAGUGAGUUGCUUAAGAAAAUAUUCACUGUUUUUUUUUAAAUAAAUAAACAUAAUUGAUAUUCCAUAUCUAAAUAUCUUUUUAUUCGAAAUAGAAUUUUCUAUUUCAAAUUCGUUUCUAAAUUUGUCCAUACACCUUCAACAAAAUCAAAAUUCAGAAAUGAGAUACGCACGAUUUUUUUUAUUGAGGGCUGGCAAUAUCCACAAUGAUUACAAUAAGAUUCAUAAAAAAGACCGAAAUGUAACUAUAAUUUUUACGUAUCACAUGUGGUCCCUUAACUUAAUUUCAGUUAAGGAUUUAGUUUUUUAUUUAGUCCUUUAUUCCUAACAAUAUCAAAAAAAGUAUGAAAAUAUGAGUUUAUUUGAAGAUUUGCGUUACGAAAUUGAUGAAAUUUGUAUUAUAUUGAAAAAUAUAAUUAAUUUUAUGAGUUUUGUUUGAUUUUUUUUUUGAAUUUUUGUAUAAAAAAGGAUAACAUUGUUGAAAUUUUAAAACAUCAAAUAUCAAAUUGUCACUUAAAAAUAAAGAACCAAGUCGGAAAAAAAAAAAAAAGAUAAAAGACUAAAACGUUAACUAUUAAGUUAAUGGACCACAUAUGUAAUUUAGCCUUUUUACUAUUGUUUUUCCAAGUAUGUAUGAUAUCCAUAUGAGUUAAAAUUGAUGGGUCUUCAUUGUUAUAAAAUAUAAUUUUUGGUGCAUGACUCAUUAAAAUUUAUUUUUUACAAAAUAAGAGUCAAACAAACCCUCAAUGUGGAUCCAAAAAUUCAUCUUAAACCCAUAACUUCAUCUUUAUCUCCAUGAUCGGAUCUUGAAAUUAGAAAAGAAAUAAAUAAAUAAAAAUUAACCAAACUUUCCAACCCAUAACUUUUUUUGGACACCAAACCUGAAAAAGUUACAUGUGAAAAAGAACCCCAAAAUGCAAAACCAUAGGUUCAAGCAGUAGUAACAACAAAUUCUGAUGAUACAAACUUUUCUUCAACAAUAGUCUUUCUACCACCUUGUCUCCAAGAUCCACCUCAAGUAGGUUCCUAUUAUCUCCUUUUUUUUUUUCUGACCAUUUUUAACAUUUUUUUUCUUUCACCGGGUUGAUCUUAUAUACAGCUUUGCAUUUUGUCUAUCCCAAACACCUAAGAUUUUGUUGUUUAAUUUAUUUUUUAUUUUUGUUUAAUAAAUUUUAUUGGAAGUUGAGUGUGUAAUGUUACGGUGGAAGUUGAGUGUGUGUUUGAUUUACGGUGGAUGUUUGGUCUUGAUGAAAAAAAUUGAAUUUCACAAGUUAAAUUGUACCGUUUCAUUUGUUUGCAUGAAUCACAAUUGUUAAUUUUUCUGUAUUUUCACCAUACAUGUAGAAGUAUCUGGGUUGGAGAUCAGUUUCUAUUUUUUUAUUUUAUGAAUUUCUGGAUUUUUGUAUUGAACAAUAUGAUAAGUGCUGUAUUUUUGUAUUGAACAAUAUGAAAAGAUACGAAAUGUAAAACUAAGUUUUAAAAAAAUAAUGUUUCGAAUUUUUUAAAGUUUUAAAACUUUUGUUUAAAGUAAUUUCGAAAAUUUUAAAUUAAUUCAAAAUUUUAAUUUUUUUUUUAAUUUAAAACAUUAAAAAUAUAAUCUCUUGUUUUUUAAUUUUUUUUUAAAGUUUCAAACAAUACGAAAUUUCUAAAAUAGAAAAUUGGUUAAAUAGUAUCUGAUCCUUUAACUUAAUUACUUUUUUUUUUAUUUGAUCAUUUAUUUUUAUUUUAAGUGACAAUUUGAUCUUUUGUGUUUUAAAAUGUCAACAAAUAUUAUUUUUUUUUUACAAAAAUUUAAAAUAUUUAUUAAAAUCUUUAAACAAAACCCAUAAAAUUAAUUAUCAUAUUUUUUUAAUUAUUAUUUAAUAAAUUAUAAAUAACUAAAAUAUUUAAAAAUUCAAAAUAUUAUUAAUAAUAAUAAUAAAUUAAAUAAUAUUAUUAAUUUUAAUAAUAACAAUAAUAGUAAUAAUAAUAAAGUAAUUUAUAUUAAUAAAAUAAAAUUAAUUAAAUUGAACAAACAAAAUACAUUAAAUUAAAGAAAAAAAAUGCCACAGAUAAAAAAAAAUAGAGGAAGAAGUUAACACGUCGUUUAUUUUGACACAUUUAUUUAACUGUAUUUUUUUUCUUCUCCAAAUUAGUAUUUUUAUUUUAAUUUUUUAAUAGUAAUUUUAUUUUUUUAGUUAUUUUUAAGUUAUUAAAUAAUCAAUAACUCAAUUGUUCACAAAAUAAUAGUAAGUGUUAAUUUAACUGCAAAAUAUAAUUGAGUUGUCAAAAUAAUAUAAUAUUUAUUUAUUUAUUAAAUUAUAAUAAAAAUAGGACAUAAUUGUUAAAAAAAUACGCUGUUGGUUUAUCGGCAAAAUAUCAAGGACACGUUAUUUGUUUUUGCACAUUACAAUAACAACUUUAUCAUAUUAUAAAAACUCCAUCCUCUUUGUUUUGACACGUUAUUAUAAUAACUUCCUCGACACAUUACUAUAACAACAUCCUACUAUUUUUUUUAUCUAAUAUAUAAAAAUUAAUGAAAAUAAUAAUAAAAUACAAAUUUGAUGUAUUUUUUGUUUAAUUUGUGGUAUUUUUUCUUCUUUAAUUUAACGUAUUUUGUUUUUUCAAUUUAAUUAAUUUUAUUUUUUUAAUAUAAUUUAUUUUAUAAUAAUUAUUAUUAUUAAAUUAAAAUUAAUAAUAUUAUUAAAAUUAUUAUUCUUCUUAUUAUUAUUUAUUAAUUUAUUUUAUUUUAUUAAUAAUAUUUUGAAUUUUGAAAUAUUUUAAUUAUUUAUAAUUUAUUAAAUAAUAAUUAAAAUUGUUAAUAAAAUGAAAAUAAAAAUAUAUAUAUAUAUACUAGUAGAUGGUCGCAUCCCCUGGAUGCGACCUUCUGUUGAGGAUAACAAAAAUUUUGUUUAGAUCGUCGCAUUCUCAGGUUACGAUCAGCAAUUGAGCUUAAAAAGUAGGACAUUUAUAUAUUAUUUUUUAGAAGUGUGACAUUUUGAUGAAAAAAAAGGGAUAUUAAAAAAAAAAUUCAUCAAAUGCAUAACUCAAAUAUUUAAAAUAAAUUCAUAUUUUCAUUUUCAACAACGUCAAAUUUAUCAAAUAAAGAAUGAAAACAUUUAUAGUCAAUCAAAUUUUCAAAAAUUUAAAUUUUUUCAAUAAAUUUUACUAAAAUUUUAAAUAUAUGAAUAAAUUAAAUUAAAUUUUUAUAUAUAAUAAAAAUAAUAAAUAAACUAUUUAAGUAUAUUGGAAGGUGAGAGGUCACAAGUAAAAAUCUCUUCAAAUAGAGAGUAAUAUGUGGCAAUUGUGUUAUAAGUCAGCUAAAUAAGGAGGCCCAUCACUUGUUGGCGGCCGUGUAAUACUAGAUCUAGUUGUACUAGGCUACUAGUUCAGAAAACAAGUUUAUUAUUAUUUAAUAAUUUAAAUAAAUAAAUUUUGGUAAAAAAAAUUAAUGGUGAGCCUCCAAUUUCCUCUGUCUUUUAUUAUAAUUUUAUUUGAAUUAUUAUUUGGCCCCUGCUACCAACUAGUCCUAGCUUUGCCUCUGAACAUACCGACACAUAAAAUAAAAAAAAAACUGAAAAAAUAAGUUAUGUAUUGUUGUAUUUAAUUGUGGUUGAUUGUAAGUGUAAUAUAAUUUUACAUAUAUGAUGGAUAAUAUUUAAACUCUUUUACAUUCUAUAAAAUUAGUGACUUUUAUAUCCUUUAAAAAAGUAUAUAUGAUUGUUAUGUAUUAUUUGGUUGCAGUAAAUGUGCUACAAAUGAAAGAAACAAAAAAGAAAGUUUCUAAUAAUUUGAAACAUAUUUUCACUGAUAAUUUGUUGAAAAGAUUUCACAAAUUGAUUAACUAAUGUAUAUAAUUGAUCUAAAUAUCGUGAAACGUUUUUCAUUAAUGCGUAAAUGAGAACCUUUUGUUUAGAAUUUAGAGAAACAACGUACAAAUAUGAAGUGUAAAAAAUUAUUGUUAAUUUGUUAUAAUUGUUCUUAUUUUUUGGCGAUAAUAUUAAAAAAAUUAUUAUAUUUUUCUAUUUUGAUGUCCAACCUAAAAAAGAUAUAUAAUAAUACUUCAUCUUCAAUUAAUUAUAUUUUUCUUAUUUUAAGUCAAUGUUACUAUAAAAAUAUUAAAUUUUAUUAAUUAGGUAGAUGUAUAAAUAUUUAUUUAUUGUAUGAUUUUUGUACUUAGAUAUAAUUAAUAUAUUAUAAUUAUUUUUAUUUUUAUUUUAAAUAUAUCAAUAAAUUAAGAAAUUAAAAUAAAUUAAUUAAUGACAAACAUUUGUUCUGUGUAUGAAUUGUAUAUGUUCUAUUAGUUUCUUUAUUAACUUUUUUUUUAGAAAAAUAACGUAAAUAAAUUGAUGUGUGAAAAAUUUAUUGUAGAUUAUUAUAAUUGUUUUUAUUUUUUUUAAAGUUAUAUUUUAUUAAUUAGGUACAUAUACAAAUAUUUGCCAUGUGCAUAGUUUUUAUAAUAAAUUAUAAUUAGUAUAUUGUUGUUAUUCUAAUUUUUUAUAAGAUAAAAAAAAAAUUAAUUAAUGAAUUGCUUAGUGAUUAACUUUGUUCUAUGUAUGAAAUAUACGUUUUCUCUAUUUUUUGAUUGAAAGCAAUAAAUUCAUGUAUUUUUUGGGAUAAAUUAACAUGUUGCACAUCUUAAAAUUGUCAGAAAAUAAUGUUCAUAUACAUGCUCAUUUGCUUAUCGGAAUUUUACACUAAAGCGUGACUUUGUUUCUUUUGAGCUUCAUUGAUUCACUAUUAAAUUAAUUAAAAAAUAACAGUUCAUUAAUUUUUAUUUAUAUCUAAAAAAUACUCUAUAACUUUUAUUUAUUAUUUUAAUUUUGAUUUUAAAUUAUAUAUCGUAAUAUAAUAACCAAUGUUGGCUACCUAUAUACACAAAAUAGACACAUUAACUUUUUUUUAUAAUAAUAAUAAAAUAUUUCUUAUAUUUAGGAAUGAUGGAGUAACAAAUAUAUAUGUGAAAAUAUUAUCUCUUAUUCUUAUUUGAUGAUGUUUGUAUGAUUGUGUAAUAUAACUUUGACAUAAUAAAUUGUGUAAUCCUUUUAAGUUUGUACGAAAAUAUCAAAUUGAUAUUUUAAUUUUUUUUUUAUAUCAAGUUAGUCUAUAAUAUUGAAUAAUUUUCAGUCACAACCUCAUUUCAAUCAUUUUUAUUUAUAGAUAUUUAAAAUGGUACUACGAAUUUUGUUUUUAAUUAUAUAAAGAACAACAUAAUAAUUUUUCAUGUGAUCUCAUGAUAUAGAUAGAGAGAAAUUUACAUUUAAUUUUAAGAAUCCUAAAAUCUAUUUUACAUAAAUUAUCUCUUGUUUAAUUAUUUUUCUAAAAUUUGAUUGAGAAUUUUUAUUCUUAUGACCGUUGCAAUCAAAUUCCCUUCAAAAUUACACAAGUUUACUGAAAAAAUUGAGAGAAUUUUAAAUUUUAAUUUUGUUUAUUUGAAAUUAAAAUAAUUAAUAUAAAAAUUUAUAAAUAUAAAUGACGAAUUUAACACUAAAAAAAUAAAUAACUAAAUUAUUACAAAAAAUAUAAAAAUUUGAUAUAUUAUUUUCCUGUAACUUAGAAAAUCAGAUAAUAUAUUUUGUAACUAUAAAUUUUCAACCUAUAUUAAUUUUUUGUUUUAUGAAAUGAGUCCUACUAUAUUAUUUGAGCUAUGUGUUACUUUAAGAUUAUUAUUAUUAUUUUUUAAAAAUAUUUAUAUAUAUUAGUAUUAGGGGACUCUUAGGACCAAUUCAAUUUUGCCUUUAGAUCAUUCCGUCUAUAUUAGUGUAAGUUGAAACUUAAAAAUUUGUCCAAUCUAAUUUGAGAAUUGAGUAAAUAAAAAAUAAAACCUGACCUAAAGCGUCUAAAAAGUGGGAAUAAAAAAGAGAAAAUUAUUUGAAAGAGAAUCUCGAUGGAUGUCCCAAUAGCCCAUAAAUAAUGAAGAUGGGUAAAAGCGACAGCAACGCAACGGGAGUGAUGCAGUGCUAAAUCAUGCUAAGUUUAACCUAACCCACGCCGUAACCCUAGUAGUUUUUUACAUACAUUCGUAACCGUAGUUAAAACCUUGGGUAGAGGAUAAAAAAUAUCUUUGUGUUCAUUUACAACCGUAACCCUACCAGUACCACACCCCCUUCUAUAUAACUGCACCUUGACUGAAGUAUUGAAAAUAUCUUCAUUUCUAUAAUUGUCUAGUCUUUUUCUUUCUCUCCUAAAAUCUAGGUUUUGUUCAUUUAUCAAUGGCGUCCGCAGAUGUUGAGUACCGUUGCUUCGUUGGUGGACUUGCAUGGGCCACCGAUAGCGAUGCCCUUGAGAAAGCCUUCUCUCAAUACGGAGAGAUCGUCGAUUCGAAGGUCCGUUUGUUGCAGGCGGAUCAUACACGAUUUGGAUUCCUAUUCUGAUCUGUGAUCUUUGAUCUUUUGUGUUACUUGAACUAUUCUGUUACUGAUUCUGUUACUAUAUCAUAUGAUUUUGUGUUACUUGAUCUAUUACUCACCCCUAAUAGGUACGUUCAUCUUCAUCUUUUAACAAAAAGGAGAAGAUCGAUCGGUUACUAUUCGGUUACUGCUUUGUUUUCGUGCUUUCGUACUUUUUUUUCUUAGAUCUGAUGUUUGUUUAUUAUUUAACGUGCAGAUUAUUAACGAUCGUGAGACUGGAAGGUCAAGAGGGUUUGGAUUCGUGACAUUUGCUAAUGAGAAGUCAAUGAGGGAUGCUAUUGAAGGAAUGAACGGACAGGACAUGGACGGACGUAACAUUACUGUUAACGAAGCUCAAAACCGUUCAAGUGGCGGUGGAGGAGGUGGUUACGGUGGAGGUCGUCGUGAAGGUGGAUACAACCGAAGCAGUGGUGGUGGUGGAGGCUAUGGUGGUGGAGGUGGUUAUGGUGGUGGUAGGGACCGUGGAUACGGUGGCGGAGGUGGUGAUGGUGGUUCCCGUUACUCACGUGGCAGCGGCGGUGGCGGUGGUGGUGGAAACUGGAGAGAGUAGUUUUGUAAGCUAAGUCUCGUGAUGAAGUUUUUAUGGUUAAUUAUGUUUAGUUGAGAUUUUAGAUGGUGGGAUCUAGUAGUCUCUGUUAUGGUAUCUGUUUUGUUAUGGCUUUCUGGUUCUUGUUCGUGUACCUCUCUGAAUCUGGUUGUUGUGUAUAAACGAUCGAUUGAAAGGAUAGUGAGAUUUUAGUUGACGACUAAUUUCUUCCGAAUUUUGUUAGUAUGUCUAUUUUCGUAGUUACUUUAGAUCAUGAACAUCAGAUUAGUAAUUUUAAUAUUAAUGAUUAAAAAUAAGUUAAUUAAACAAAGGAGGCUAGAAAGCAUAUUAAAUAUGUAUUUGAGAAUUCUUCGGAGUUUAAGGAUUUAAAGGGACUUAUGUCAAAAUGCAGCACCAUGUGUUAAUCAUAAACAUAGAUGAAUAUCUAUAAAAUGACACUGAUUAUGGAGAUGAGAGAACAACUUCAUAAUGGACGGAAGAGGCCCAUUGUUGCUCGAUGAGACAUAUAUAGAUGUGGUGAAGAUUGAAGAUGUUGAUUCGGUUCCUAUCUCUAUCGUGUUUUAGAUAUCUCUAUCAACACCAAAUGAGAAUGUAAACUGUACAAUUUUCGACGUCGUCCUUAGAAUUGUUUGUGAAGUCGGCAAAUAAAUUGUUUCUUUGAUUAAGAAAUAUGGUCUAAAAAUGCUAAAAUCUACUUUUAUUAUAGGCCUUAUGAUGUGAAAUGCAUGAAGUUCUAAUUACAUGUAAUUCAAAUCCUAUUUUUAAUAUUUUCCUGGAUAUUUCCCAACAAAAGAAAUGAAGCAAAAAAGGAAUAGACAUAGUAUCUAGAUUUUGAUAUUUCUAAAGAAGUAAAAUUUAAUUUUAAAAUUUGGAAGACUAAAACAUAUACACAGAGAGGAGGAAGCCAUUUCACUUGGAAGAAGGAGAUCCUAAAUGUUUUGAAAUAUCUCACUCAUGUGUCCAACAUCCUGUUGUCAACUAACACGAACAUCCGGAAUCCAAUCGAAUUUGUCUUCCAAAUUUUUCAACUCUAGCUAAAUGUCGCUGUUACGAGACACUAGCUUAGCAUAUAUUGAUAGUCGUUGUAAUCUCUAACUGAUAGCUAUCUGUUAGUUACAAAAUGAUUCAUGUAUGUUAGUUAGUAGAGCCUUUGUAAUCAAUAGUUGAAAAAUAUAGAAAUCCAUUGUAAUAUGAGUGUGUAUCUUUUACAAUAAAGCAAGAUGAAUGCUCUUCAACAUGGUGUCACUAGCGAUCAGAACCUAAUCUUCGUCUUUGUUCCAACAAAAUCUUUUUGCUUCCACAUCCUCUGUAAUUCUGUCCUCGAAUAUCAUCAUCAUCAUUCAACUCAUCCAAUCAAGAAUUCAAUAUUUAAGAUUGUUGGAUAUUGGACUCCCUUUCUAUGUGGAUAAAUGUUCAAAUAUGGUUGUCCAUUUGUCUCACUUAUUCAAGUGGAGAGGAGUUUGAUUAUGGUUGUCAAAAGAGAAAGAUUAUUUUGAGAAAAAAAAUAGCCACCAAAAGAGAAAAGAGAAGAGUAAACUCAAUUCCCGAGUUUGUCAAACCAAUCUUAGUAACACAUCGAUUGCGUAUUCGUUAACCGUUGGAUCAUACUGAUUUUUGGACAACAAGUUCACAACAUAGAGGUCUUCUAUUUCAAUUGGCGGAUCGACGACACAACGUCCGAAGAGGGAGGAUAGUGCUCGCACAAUAGCUUUGUUAUUUUGGCUGGUUGUAGGUAUAACUUAUGCAUCAUUUUGAGACAAUCUUGUACCUUUAUAUGAUUAUAGUUGAGGUGUUUCUUUGAUCUGGACGUCUCGUGGUUUUUAUUCUUGCAUUGAUGGAUUUUUCACGUUAAAAUAUCGGUGUUCUUUACGAGCUUUUUUGGGAUCCAAUUUGCUUCCAUAUAUUUGUUGUUGCUCCUCACGGGUUCUUGCGAGUUGAGGGAAUUUUAUAUUCGCUGCAUAUUGCUUGUUAUCGUGUUUAUGUGUUUUUUCAUAUCAGAGUGGUAUAAGAGCUCUUGGUUAAAAGACUAUUUGACUUGUUUGAAGAAUGAAGACAAAUAUGAAUAUAAAGAUGGUACGCUUAAAUGGUACUACUUACCAUUUGUGGAAAGGAAAGAUGAAAAAUUUGUUAUUUGUGAAGAACACACAUCUUCCUAUUUUUUUGUUCUAAAAAGCCAAAUGGUAAAUCUACGGAAGAAUGAGAUUUUGAACAUCAACGAGUAUGUAGUUUUGUUAGACAAUAUGUAGAAGAUAAUGUUUAUAAUCAUAAAGCUAAUGAGACAAAUGCAAAAACUAUGUGAGAGAAGAUACAAACUUUGUUUGUUUCUAAAUGAGGGAAUAAUAAAUUGUUCUUGCUGAAUAGUUUCAUAAGUUUGAAGUACAAAGAGAAGACGUCUAUUGGGUAUCAAGUUUGAUAAUGAGCUAUUGGAACAAUUUCUAUUGUUAUCUUUACCAGAGUCUUGGGAGACAUUCCAGAUUUCUAUAACUAGUUCAACUUCUAAAGGUGUUAUUUCUUUGGAAACAACGCCAAAAACUUGACAGCGUUUUAACAAGUGUACUGAAUCGUUGUAAUUAAUAAUAAAACGAUAGUACCGAGUGUCGAACUCAAGUAUUGCGUUUUACUAUCAAAUUAUGUUUAAUUACUAAAACUGAACAAAAAAGUUUAUGACUUUAUUGAUAUUAUGUUUGAAACUACCAAGAGUAAUAAAAUUGAACUUUUAUAAUAAGAAAAAUGUCGGGGAUAAGUUUCACUUUGAAUUCAACCUUGGUUUCUAUAUUGACCCUAGUUAAUAAUUUCCUUUAUUUAACUAUUACCAAAUUCUCUUUAUUAUUCUUUAUCUAAUGUCUUAGUGACAUAACCUUUAAUUCCAAAAUAACCUCUAAUUUCUUAGUGGAUUUAAUAUUAGAAUUAACCUUUAUAGUACAAUAAUUCUCUUAUUAAACUAUUACCUUUGCAAAUAAUUCAAUUGGUUUCAUGACCUACAUCUAUCCCUAGACUAUAAUAUCAUGAAUUUCUCAUCUCAAGCAUUCGUAAAGUCCACUUCAAUUUCAAAAUACGAAUCGUAAAAUAAUUUAAAGUCGAUCAAGCAAUAAAAAUCAUUAAGCUCAAAGAUAAGAAAAAUAAUUCAAUAAACUCAUUAUUAUAACUAGAAAUCAAAUCAGACAAAUAAGAGUUUAAUCUUGUUUGACUCAUCCCUAACAAAUAUGAUUUAAUUACGACAAAGAUACAAAAGAUAUAGAUUAAAGAAGAAUUAUAUGAAGGAUUCAUAAAUGAUUCUUGAUGAAACUACUUCAAGGGUGUUAGAACCAGUUGUAUGUGAGUUUCUCUGCUAGGGCAUAAAUCUCCAAACUUCAAAAUAGCAAAAAAAAAAAAAAAUCCUAAAAGUGAGAAAAAUAUAUUUUUAUGUAUUCUGAAGCACGUCAUGCGUUCCAGGCGCGCCUGGACAGAGACAUGAUGUGAAAAUACUGUAGACACGCGCCUCAAGGACAAGCCUUUGCGCUUCAGGAAAUUAAUAUUUGUUGUCUGACGUUUACUGAUUUUUUUAGUCUUUUGAACCUGAAUUUGGUUACGGUGUUUUCAUGAAAGUUAUAACUUAUGAUCUUAUAUUUCAUUUGCACUUAGUUUGACUCCAAUUAUAUAUCUACAACUCCAAAUAUGACUAAAUGAUCCACAUAAGUCAUGUUAGUUUCUCACCAAAAUUCAGCAUUGCACAAAAACAACGAAAUAACACAAAACUAUGAAAAUCUCUAAUUAAUCAAGAAUAUAAGAACAUAAAUAUUUCAUUAUUCAAGAACUAAAAUUAUCAAACUAUAUAAAAUAAAUCCCUAAAUUAACUAAUGAUUAAAAAUAAAUAACUCUGAAACAAAGAAAAAUAUGCAUAUGAUGAAGAAUUAUCAUGCAGUGUCAUGAAUGAGGAGAUGAGAAGGAAGACAUGUGAUUCUUCAUCUCAGUAUGAAGUUCUUUUCACUGAAAAUAGGGGGAUAAGUAAAAGUAGGUAUAAGUCUAGAUACAAAAAUAUGGAGUGUCAUUAUUGUCAUAGAAUACGUCACAUACAGAAGAAUUGUUUUCUGCGUAAAAAGGAGAAUAAAGGCAAGGAAGAUAAGCAGAAACAAAAAGGUCGUGAUGAUGAUCGUGUUAGUAUUGCUACUAGUGGUGAUUUUGUUAUUGUCCAUGUUUAUGAAUCAAUUAAUCUUGUAUCUGAUGAGAGCAUGUGGAUAAUUGAUAGUGGUGCUACACUACAAGUUACAUUGAAUAUGAAGUUCUUCACAUCUUAUACUUCAAGUGACUUUGGAGUCUUGAAUGGGUAAUGAUGGUGUAUCUAAGGUAAUUGGUGUUGGAGAUGUAUGCUUGCAAAUCUAAAUGGGAAUGCAAUUAUUUCUUAAAGGAGUCAAACAUGAUCCAAAUGUUCGCUUCAAUAUGAUCUCUAUGCAUAUGCUUGGUGUUAAAGGAGUCAAGCAUGCUGCCAAUAAACACUUUAUGUUGCCUCAACAUAAGUGGCUAGUUCAUAAUUUGAAGAAAUGUUUAAACAAAAAUGACGAUGAGAUGAAGAUAAAACUUGAAUUGUCAUGAGAAAUAAAAUUUGAAAGGGGAUAAAAAAUACUUUUUGGAAGAGCAAAAUUUUUCACUUUACCUUUAGGAAGCUCACAGUAGUAAUCUUGCAAGUAAGAAAGUGGGUCAGUGGUCCUAAAGGAUUUUCUAGGAGAAAAAGGAGGGACCAUAAUUGGGUUUAAAGGUUGAGUAUUACUAACAUAUGAUGUAGGUAAAUAAUCAUGUAAAGGGUGGUUAGGAGGAAUGGUGUAGGUGGAAUGAGUUCAUAGGAAGGAUAAAAAGGAAAGAUAUCUUCAAAAAAGGUAGUAUUUCUAGAAACAAAUAUCUCUUUGUUUGGAAGGUCAAACAAAAUGUGGACUUUGGUACCAUAUUGAACACCUAGAUAAAUGGUUUUCCUAGAUCUUUUAUCCAAUUUAUUUCUAUGAGCACUUUAGGUUGGAGCAAAACUCAAAUAUCUAAAAACACGCAAAUAAGACAAAUGAGGAGUAGUAUCAUAUAAUGAAGUGAACAACAUGCUUGAUAACAUAACCCCGAAAACAAAGUGAAAUGUGAACAUGAAAAAGGAAAGCACGAGCAAGUCCUAAAAUGUGCUGGUGCUUGCACUCAACAAUUUCAUUUUGUUGGAGCGUAACAACACACAAAUUUUGAUGAAUAAUCCCUUUUGAACUAUAAAAGUCGGUAAGGAUAAACUCAACACCAUUAUCAGUACAAAUAGAUUUUAUAGUAGAAUUAAAAUCAUUCUGAAUUAAAGUAACAAAACUCUUAACAAUAUUAGAGGCUUCAGACUUAAGUUUCAUGAUAAAUAUCCAAGUAAAGCAACUUUUGUCAUCAACCAUAGUUAAAAAAUAUUUAUGACCAAACAUAGAAGGAAUCGAAAAAGGUUACCAUAUAUCCAUAUGAAUCAAAUCAAAGUAGUUAAUAACAAUAGUAUUAAUAUUAGAGAAAAGGUAAACUUUUUUGCUUCACAAAAAAACAAGUGUCACACAGAGUAUAAUAUUUAUUACUGGGAACAAAACGAAAAAUAUUUUGAAUAUAAACAAGUUUUUGAUGAGAAAGAUGCCCAAGUAUUAGAUGUCAAACAUUAAGGGGUUUAUGAUAAUGGGCAAUAAUAUUAGUAUUAACAUGAUGAAUAGCAUGCUUAAAAGGGGAUAAUUGGACAUAAGGGGUAGUGGGAAUGUAAAAACCAUUGAGAAUCUCAACUCCGCCAAUCAUCAUCCUAGAUUGAAUCUUCUGUAUUAGGCAAUAUUUGACUUCAAAUAUAAGGUGAUAAUGUACAUGCAACGCUAUACGAGGAACAUAAAUCAAAUUACAAAAAAGUGAGGUAUAUACAAAACAUCAUUCAAGUAGAAAUCAUCAGAGAAGAAAAUAGUGUUAUCAUAGUUAGCAUAUAUGAAAGAGCCAUUAGGAAAUUUUAAAGAAAUUGAAGGAAUUUUACGCAAUGAUUUGAAAAAUUAUGAAGAGUAGCAAAAAUUAUUGGUAGCUCCCAUGUCUAAUAUCUAAAAACUUAAUUUAGAUGUGCUGCAAGACGAACAAACAAUACCUAAAUCAUUUCCAAGGGAAGUGAUAUGAUUCGCAUGAUAACCUUGUGAAGAAGAAUUGCCCAGAAUGUGCAACAUCAAUAUGUGAAGAAGUAGUAGAAGCAACAGACUUGGUGUCUUCAUCAAUGUCAACAUCAAUAUUAGUAUGAAUGUUUACAGACCCCUUUUGAAGAUGAGCUGGGACACCAUGUUUCUUGAGACAAACAUUCUCAAUAUAACCAAUUUUGAGGCAAAAAGUGCAAGUUUUGGUGCUCCAACCACAAAUAGCAACACCUUGACUGUGAUUAGAGUUCUUGCUUCUUGAAUUGGCAUGACUAGAACCAGAAAAAGUAGCCAACAAUUUUGAAUCUUUCGUUGUUCCAAGAAACUGAUGUUCCUAUUAAAUGAACAUAAAGAUUACUUUGCUGAUGGGAGGAAGGGGAUCAAUCAACAUGAUCUGAGAACGAAAAGAGAAAUAUUGUUUGUUUAAAUCCUUCAAAAAUUGAAUAACGUAAUCACCUUCCUGAUAUUGCUUGAUAGUGGGCAAGAGUAGACAAGAACACUUGAUAGCACAAGAGCACAUAUAUAAGGAGAGGUCGAAAAAUCUCCAAUUCCUGCCAAAGUUUCUUCAAUCGAGUGUAAUAAAUGGUAAUAUUGGCAUCGCCUUGACUGAGAUUGAAAAUUUCCUCUUGAUGUUACAUAUCUUUGAGUUCUUUCCAUAUUUCAGAUGCAGUGUCCGUCCACAUAAUGUUUUGCGUAAUUUUAGGCUCCAAUGAGUGAUUCAUCCACAACAUAACCAUCAUAUUGCAUCUUCCCCAAGAAAGUCAUUGACAAUCGUCACCAAUUGGGUGAGAUAAAGAGCCAUCAAUAAACCCUAAUUUGUUCUUGGAACAGAGAGCAAUAAGUAUCAAUCUCGACUAAGAGUGAUAAUUAUCACUUGAUAAAGUGGGAGACACCAACACAAGGCCAAGAUUAUCAUUAGGAUGCAUAAAGAAGGGAUCCAACAUGUCUUGUUGGUAGUUGUGAAUCGACGCAGUGGUAGGUGGCAAUGUGGGUUGUGGAGGCGACAAAGGUGGUUUGGAUGGAGAAGAUGAAUCUGUCAUAAGGGACAUUGCAGAGAGAAAACAAAAAUUUGAAGGAAAGAAGAAAUAGUCAAAGAUUGGGAAUCUAGCUUACGAUACCAUGUGAAACUAAAUAUACCUCAAAUUUGUUAAUAGAAAAAUUACAAAAAUAAAAAACCUAUUUAUAUAGUAAAAGAAAAAAAAAAUUCUCUCUAAAAAAAGGUAAAACUAAUUCUCACAUAUUAACCGCCCUACUAACUAAUAAGGAGCUAAAACAUAGAGAAUGAAAAUAAACUAAGUUGCAUAAUCUUUAAUAGUAUUGUUGACUCUCUAUGUUCCUAAUAUUAGUAAAAAUCUCCUAUAUGUCUCCAAAUUUAGCAAAGAUAAUCAUGUCAUCUUUGAAUUUUAUUCUAGUAAGUGCUUUGUAAAAUGUCAAGAAUCUAAACAAUUCUCCUCAAAGACUCCAUUGAUGAGGAUGGUCUAUGCUACUUUAGUCACCUCAAGAUUUGAUUAUCAUAGAUUUGCUAGGCUCCAUUGAUGAUGAUGGUUUAUACUACUUUAGUCAUCUCAAGAUUUGAUUAUCAUAGAUUUGCUAGUUCUAUUCUCCGAAAUAAUGUUUUCAGUAUUUUAUGCUUUGAUACUUUUACAUCUCAUGAUUACACAACUUGACACAAUAGGUUAUUGGGAAGUUCUAUGAUAUAUUAAAAAAUUAACAUGAUUUUUUACUAUAAAAAUUAAACAAUCAAUAAUUAAAUGAUAUGUAAAAUUCAUAAUAUCGAUACACAUUCUAUUUUUAAUCUUACCAUAAAACUUGUCUAAAUUUAUAACCGAGUUUCAAUAAUAAUGCAAGAUGUAUGCUCUUCAACUAUACGAUAAAAAAUAAAUUUAUUAAUGAACCAUUUACUUAUUUUUAAUGCAAUAAAAAAAUUAAUUUUAUUAAGUUUUUGUUUUUUCUUUAAUAAACCUACUUAAGUAAUAACUAAAAAUUUGUUUGUUGGAAUAAGCCUUUGUCCUUACUCCGUAUUUCUCUACCUUAGGAUCAUAUUCCACCCAAUUUGUAUAUGUAAUGAAUCUCCACACUAUUUUUCUAUCAACGAUGAAUUAAAAGAAUCUCACAUUCUUUUUACCUAACCCCCUCAUUUAAAAUAUUCUCCCAACUUACCCAAUUUUGAAAAGAAGGAAAUACAGUAAACCAAGAUAGUUGACAAGACAAUGUGAUUAGGGCUUAAAUCUAUUAUUUUUAAAGUAAAAUUGACAAAAGGGCUUCAAUUAUAAACUUUUAUAAGAGUAAAAAAGUCAUGUAAAAAAAAAGAGAGAGAAAAAUAUUAAAAAAAGACUUUAUUAUCACUUUUUGUUUGUUGUUUUAUUAUUGUUUUAUAAAAUUUAAUUUUGUUUUAUUAUUGUUUUAUUAUUGUUGUCUUUGAAUAUAAGAUUUAAUGAAAUUAUAUAAAUUUUAAUUAAUUAAUAUAUUAAAAAAUAUAAUGCUAACACUUGUUUUUUUUUGUAUGCACAGGAUGGGUCUAUUACUGAAUAUCUAUGUGCCUGCCUCAGCGGUUUGACGGUUUAUGAAUCAAAACCUGAAUUUGACUCAAAACUGCAAUUGAUUACAUUGAGAGACCAUUAGAUAACUAUAUAUCUCUCUCUCCUUUUUUUUUUUGAAUUGUACAAUACUGAGCUUUCCUUCUGUUAGUUUAACCUUUAGAUCUUAUGUUUAGAACUUUUAUAAUUCCACAUACUAGAGAAAGGUUAAACUAAUUUCAAAGAGGUUUUUUAUGUACAUGAAUAGACGGAUACAUGAAUCUGAUUAAACAAUUUAUUCUGUUAUUUUCCAUAUACUUUUUUUUUUUGACAAGUUCAAUAUACUUAAAUUAUUAAAUGACAUUUUGAAGUAAUUGAUUUAUUUCUUCUUAAUAUACAAAUAAAAGCAUAGGAUUGCUAAGAAAACACCUUCUAACACAUACUUUUAACAUAUAUAAUCAACGUAAUUGGUUAAGAAUCAUUUGAGUUCUAUUAAAUUAAGUAGCUCCCAUAUAAAUUUAGUAGGAUCAUGUAUAUUUUAAACAAUAAAAUAAAAUAUGUUAUUAAAUGUAAUGCUGACAUUAUUCAUAAAUGAAAACAACGAAUGACUAUUUUUUUCAUGUCAUUUUUUAAAUAUCAGAUAUUUUAUUGUGUAAUUUAGCCAACAUUUUUUUUUGUCUUACAUGCACCUAUUUUUUUGUUGUUGUUGUCUUCCAUGCACCUAUUUUGUUAUCAAUGAACAUUUAACAUUUAGUUCCUUCAUUUUUUAAAUCAGUUUUUAGGUCUCUAUUGACCAAUUAUUGAUAAUUUUUUGUCCCUGUUACUUUUUAUAAUGUGACAUUCUUAUAAAUUUAUUUUUGUUGUUAUUAAUUUUAUAUAUUUAAAAUCAAUUAAUUUUAUUUAUUUAUAAAUAUAUAUUAAACUAUUUAAAUUUUUUUUUUAAAUAUUAAAAUUUACUUAUCUUAUUUAACUUUUUUUAAUAAUUUAAAAUGUUAAAAUAUUUAUAUAAAAUAGAUAAUUUUUGUUAAUUUAAUUUUUAAAUAUUUAAAUAUAAUAUUUCAUAUUUAAAUUUAUUACAUUUUUAAUAUUAUUUCAUAUUUAUCUUAUUCAUAUAUAUCUAAAAUUAAAAUAUUUAAAUAAAAUAUUUAGAUUAUUUUUUUAUUUUAUACAACAAUAAUUUAAAACUUUAAAAUUUUAAUUUUAUUUAUUUAUUCUAUUUUUAGUGUAAAAACUAUUGUUAAUAUAAAUAAAUAAUAUUUUAAAGUUUAAAAUUAUUGAGGGAUAAAUAAAUAAUUUUAAAUAUUUUAAUUUUAGUUUUAGAUAUUUUAUUUUAAAUAAAUUUAUUUUUAAUAUUUAAAUAUAUAAAGGAAAUAAAUAUUAAUAAUAUUAAAAAUGUAAUAAAUUGAAAUAUGAAAUAUUAUAUUAAAAUAUUUAAGAUUAAAAUUUAUCUAUUUUUUAUUAAUAUUUUAAAAUUUUAAAUUAUUAAAAAAAGUUAUAUAAGAUAAAUAAAAUUUAAAUAUUUUAGUAUAUAUAAAUAAAAUGUGCACUCAUGAUAUUUUCUUUCAAAUACAUUUGUGCUUAUAUGAUCUAUUAAGCCGGUUUAACUUAUAGUGUGCUAUCUCUUGUGUUGUACAUGAUAUACAUAAUCACAUAUUACAUAGGUUUCACAAUACACUUAUAUAUACACAGACUAGUUUUUCUUGUUGAUUAAACAAAAUUGAUGUUUAAGAUACACUCAUAUUAAUGUGUUUGUUAUAGUUGGGGAAUAAAUUAGAAAUAAACUCAAUAGAAAUCUCAAAUUCAACUUCUAAUAGCUCAUUUUUUUUAGUCAAAAUAAAAUUUAUCAUUUAUAAGGAUUUAGAAGGGUGUAAUUGACAUUUCCAUCACACUCCCCUUUACUUAAAACCCAAUUGUUAGAAUAAAAAAAAAUUAUAAUAAAUGAAAGAAAGAAAGAGGGAGGGAUGACCGUAUGAUACCAAGUGAGAAAAAAAAGAAGAGAUGAAAGAAGAGAAAACAGGAAACAAGAAUAUUUUAUUAUAUAAAAAAUAUUAAUAACAAAAAUAAGUUAAUGAGAGUCUACAUCAUAAAAAAUAAUAGAAGAUUAAUAAAAUUUAAAAAAAUUAGUUAACAGUAUAUAAAAAAUUGAUUUUAGAAAUAAAGAACUGAAAAUUUAGACAAAAUAAAUAAACGAAAACUAGAUUUAAUUGAGAUAUCGAUUUUUCGGCUUUCACACAUUGGAUUUGCAAAUGAAGGCCCACAUGUUGAAUCUUGAGAUAUAAUAUGAGGGAAAUAUAUGCCUGCACAAUGCCCUUCUAUUUUUUCUGGAUUGUGUUUUGUUUUGAUGCUUUAUUCGUUCUUAGUUUGCAAAAAUUGACUUUUAUACUUUUCAGAUUUUGGGUCUACAAGUUUAGUACAUUACAAAUUAAUAUUUUGCUUCUCAUCUUUUAAUUAAGUUGUUAGAAGAGUAACAAAGAAAAAAUAAGGCCUUGUUUAAGGUUGGAAAACAUAGUAUUUUUAAUUUUUAAAAUGUGUGUUCAUUUUAUUUGAAUAAAAUACUUUUAUAAUGAAACAUUUUUACUAAAAAAAAUAUAAUAUUAGUUAAUGAAAAUAUAUUUUAAAAAUAAUAAAAAUAUUUUUUAACAUGUUCAUUAUUUUAAAAAUUGAUGAGAAUUAUUUCAUUUCAAAAGUUUCUUACUUCUUUAUUAACAAAUAAAAUAAACAUAAAUUUUUUUAAAAAAAAUAUAUUUUCAUAAAGUAAAAAGAAUUUAAUUUCAUUUUUUUUUUGUUUUGACAACUUAAAACUUCUAUUUCUACUUCUUAUUUAAAACUAUUUUGACACACACUCUUCAACUUUUGUUUUUUAAAUAACAAUCUUUUUUUAAAUACUCGAUAUUUUAUUUUUUUGAAUUACAUUAAAAAGUGAGAAUCAAAAACUUAAUUUUUUUAAUCAAAUUCUUGAGUUCUUUACUAUUCUGCUCUUUAACUCAUAUACCUCAACUACCAAAUCAACUUUAAUUCUCUUUUUAAAUCACAAUUGCUGUUACAUCUGUUUGUUACAUAUUAAGAAAAUGAUUUUAAUUUUAUAUUUUUAAAAAGAUUUUAAAGAGAACCUCUUUGAAACAGAACAAAUUAUUUUAUAUUAUUUAUUAGUGUUUUAAAAAGUAAUUUUGACUAUAAGUAAUUUAAAUAUUAUUUGUUAGAUAUAUUUAACAUAAUAAUUUUUUUUAAAAGAUGUCCUCGACAAUAACUUUUAAUAUAAACUACUUAAAAUAAUUUUUUAUUUUUAUCAUUUUUUCAAAUUUUUUUUAAAAAAUUAUUAUGUAAAAAAUUGUAAUAAAAACAUAAAAUACUUACAAUGUUUUUUGUUGUUGUUGAAAUUACUCUAACUUAUUUCUCAUGUGAACUUUUUAAAUUCUACUUUUAAAAAAUUAUAACAAAAUAGUAAAAUAUAUAUAUAUAUAUAUAUAUAUAUAUAUAUAUAUAUAUAUAUAUUAAACUAUAGAAAAGGGUUCAUAAUUUAUUUUCAAUAUACUAUGAUCACAUUUCUAGGGAGACUUGGGGAAUGGGUUGAAGGAUUAAUUGACAAAUAGUAGAAAGAGUAUUAGAAAAUGCAAGAACACCACCAUAACGAAAAGUUGUUCAACCACGGUGCAUUCACCAAAUCAUGCUGAAAAACCAUAACGAUGUGAAAGCUUGGUUUCGUUGCGUCUGAGAUAUCAGAGAAGAUAAAUGUAAUUUUUCAUUAGUUUUUUGGUACAAAAAUUAAGAGUAUUAAAAAUUUAAAAUUAGUUAUAAGUUAGAAUAAGUUACGAAAUUAAUUAUUUUAAUUGAAUAUAUAAACUUCAUUAUAUUUGAUAUUUUAAUAAUUUUUCUCAUUCGAUCAAUAUAAAAGUUAUUCUAUUCACUUUUCAAUGAUUUGAUAUGAAGAUUUUAUAUAUUCUAUCUUACUUUGUGAAAUUAUUUCUUGUUUUUAUUUUUUAAAACAUGUAUUCAUUUUACUUUGAUGAAUUUUUUUUAUAUUCACACUUCAAUGAUUUGAUAUUAAGAUUUUACAUACUUUAUAAAAGCAGACCUUUACCUUGCAAAACUAUUUCUUGUUUUUAUUAUUUAAAAUAUAUAUUCAUUUUACUUUGAUGAAAUACUCUUGAAGUAAAUUAUUGUCGUAGAAAUAAUAUAAAAUACUAGUUAAUAAAGAUAUAUUUUAAAAAUUAAUAAAACUAAAAUGUAAUUUUAAUCUCCUCUAUUCUACCAAAUCUGCAAUUUUAAUCCUCUUAUUUUUUACGCACAAUUUUGAUCCCUUAUUUUUAAAAUUAUUACACAUUUGAAUCUCCUUCUAAAUUUGUUUUCAAAUUUAAUUAUGUGAUAAUUAUUUUAAUUAUGUAUACACGAUGGUUAUGAAAUUACAGUAAUAUAAAUUUUAAAUUAAAUAAUACCACUUUAAUAAUAAAAAAUUAAAUAAGAAAAAAAAUGUCAUUAAUAACAUUAAAUAAAAAAAAUUAAAAAAGAAAAGAUAAAUUCAUAACAGAUCAGUGACAAUAAUUUUAAUAAAAUAAUAUACAACAAAUAUACUCACUAAAUUAAUAUCAAAUAUACAAAAUAAACAAAUAAAAUAAGUUUUUUAAGUAAAAAAAUGAUAUGCAUUCACUGAAAUAGAUAUAACACAUCCAUAAUAAUAUUAAUUCAAAGUCUUUAAAACUUAAAAAAAUUAAAAUAAAAAAAUUGAUGAACAAACUCAGAGUAUCAAUUUUAAUAGUAUAUUAUUAUAAAAUUUCUAUAAAUGUCCCAAAAAUACCGUGAAUACUCAUGUAUGUGUAACAUUAAUGAUACUACACUCAAUGAUUUGAAUAUGUAAUUAAUCAAAACAAAUUUAUUAAUCUAAACUAAAUAAAUAAUACAACUAUAUGGAAAUUUAAUAACGUUGGGAUAUUAUACAGAAAAACAAAACAACUUCGUACGGAGGACCAAAACACAAAACAAAUACUAAAAUUGUAUAUACUAUAUUUAUUACACUACUUUUAUACGAUGAUUAUAUUUAUGAUCAAAUAAUACAAUAAAAGUUGUAUACAUGUAAUAGUUGUUAUUAUAUUGUUUACCAAUAAUUAUUUUUAAUAAAAGUUGCUCAAAUAAAAUGCAUUUCGAAUAAUUUUAUUUAGAAAAUUAUUUAUGAAAUGAUAGUUAAAAGUUGGUCAAAUAAAAUGUAUGUUAAAUAUUUUUAUUUUUUAAAAAUAAAAAUAAAAGUUAAAACAAAUACUUUUUUUUUUUAUUUUGAAAUUUUAAAAAUAAAAACAAAAAUUAUUUUUACAAAUUAAACGAUUUUGUUUGCUUAUUUAAAAAAAAGGACAUUUAUCGAGAGACAACUUCAUGUGAUCUUUUAAAUUGUUUCAUUGUAUUGUAUUAGUGUUAUAACUUUUUUACCAGAUAAGUAGUGUUACAAUUUUUUGUAUCAGAUAAGUUCUUUAAAUUAUAUUGUAUAUAUUAUUAUUAUUAUUAUUAUUAUUAUUAUUAUUAUUAUUAUUUAUUUUAUUUUUUUAUUUUAUUUUUGUUAUUGUUGGACAUUCUCUGUUAUAGAAAUACGCACGAGUGAGGAACGAAUUGGGUCGAUGAUAGACAUGACCCUACUUAUCCUUCCCUCUGACAAUUACAACUCAUUAUAUAUCCCACAAAUACAGGCUACACGUAUACGUUAAUAUACAUUAUAUAUUAUUAAGGUUGUUAGCGUUACAAAAUUAUUUGUAUAAGGGCCCCUUAAUAAGUAUCCAUUUAAAAAAAAAGACAGUUAAAUGUAAUUAAUCCAAUAGGGAAUCCUUUGACACCUGUUGUAAAUAAAAAAAAUUAUUAAAAUAAUAGUGAUAAAUUAUUAAAAUUGGUGGUGAGAAACUGAAGCAUUUCGCUUCUUUCCUCUUCACCUAUAUACCUAUCUUUUCUCAAAUAUGUAUUUAAUUUGAUCUCCAUCUCUUAGAAUUUAUACUAUUAAAAUAAAAUAAAAUUAAUACAACAACUUCUGUGUAUAGAUAAACUACCAAUAUUCGAACACACAACUCUAACACUCUAGUUAGCAACUCAACUACUAAUUGUUAUCAAAUUUUUACAUGUUAAUAUAUGAUAUAAUGUGAUACUAUAUUUUAAUUGUAAAUUAUUUUAAUUAACAUGUGUAUUUUUUAGGAGUAACACGAUGUUUAAACAUAAGAAAUUUAAUGCAUUUUUUCAAGAAGAAAGUCUUCAACAAAGAUGAAAAUCGUAAAAUGGAUAUAUUUUAUUUGAUUGAAUUGUGUUAAGUUCUAAAAACUUGUAUAAGUUGUGUGACUUGUGAAAAUAAUGUGACUUGUGAAAAUUGUAAAACUUGUGAUAAUUGAAAUUAUAACUUUUGCAACUUGUCUGUAUAAAUUGUGUGAAACUAUAAAAAAAACUAUAUAACUUUUAAGAAUUUCAAUUAUAAUAUUUUAAUUAAUAUUUGUCGCUCCGUCUCUCCAGAUAUUUUGUGCAAGAUCCUGGAGACACUUGUAUUACAUGUUCAACCAAUGAUGUUGGCGAUAGAGUACAAGGUUAUUUAGAUUUAUUUCUUUUUGUUUUGCUUCGUAGUCGAUCGAUCUAUGUGUUUAGUACCAUAUUUGUAUUUUUUUUUAUAAAAAUAAAAAUAAAGAUUGGUUUUUUUCUUCAUGUUUCGUAAUUUUUUUUAAGGUGCAUAGAGAAGUAGACUCUUAAAAGGAUUAGUAGGCUCCCUAUUUAUAAAUAUAUUAUUAUUAUUAUUAUUAAAAAAAUUAUAAUUAUUCUUUAGUUUAAAUGUGAAUUAUAUAGGAUUAAUUUAUCUCCUCUUUUAAUAUAAUUUUGGAUGUAGAAGAUUUAUUUUUCUUCCCUCUUAACACAAUUUUGGAUACAGAUUAAUAUUCCACAAUUAAAUGUGCAUACCAAAUUUUUUCAUACUCUAUUACUUUUGAAUUCUCUAAUUUCAACUUGGUGUAAAAAUAAAAAUUGAAUUGACAUUUUAUAAAUUUGUACUUUAUUUGAAAGCUAUUACCUAAUGUCAAAAGAAUUUAUUAGGGUAUGUUAGAUAGUGAUGUUUGAUUCAGAUGCUCCCAAACUCUAUAAUCUUGUUAGAGAUUGUGAUGUGAUACAUAAUCUUUGUUAGAGAUUGUGAUGUGAUACAUAAUCUUUUGUAGAAUUUUACGAUGAACAAUCGAGUUCUUUACUGAUACGAACCAAUUAGUUUUUUUAUGAGUCCUAAGCGAUUAAUGCAAACUUUCAAAAAAUAAUUUUUCUCUAUUCAUUGUCAUAUUUGUUUUUCCCUCGUUUAUGUAUAAAAAGGUCGAAAGAGGGAGAUUAAUAUUAAAUGAUAUCCUUUUAACGUUAAUUCUUUCAAACUCAAUAUUGAUGGUUUUUAUCACAACACAUAUGCUUGUAGAAAACAUGUCAUAUAUCAUAGAGAAGUAUCCUGUUUCUGUUACUGUUAAUGUCACUGUUUAUUUGACAUAAGUAAGAAAUAUACAACAGUUAUGAGAGCGAUAGUUAUAACACUUAAUUUUAACAUGCAUAGUGACAUUUCUAAAGAAGGAAUAGUUACUUAUAAAAUCCAUGUUGCAACUACCUUAAUAAUUAUAAUGGAAAAAAACAAAUAAUAUGUACGGUAAUUCUCAAAAUUUAGUUAUUUUUUAAUUAAUAAUGAAACAUCUUACAACAUAUUAUAUGUGGACCUUAAAAAAAAAAUAGGGCGAGCCGGCGACAAGUAUUAACUAAAAUAUUAUAAUUGAAAUUCUUAAAAGUUAUAUAGUUAUUUUUUAUAGUUUCACACAAUUCAUACACAGUAGACAAGUUGCAAAAGUUUAAAUUUUAAUUAUCACAAGUUUUAUAAUUUUCACAAGUCACACAAUUUUCACAAGUCACAUUAUUUUCACAAGUAACACAACUUAUACAAGUUUUUAGAACUUCCGACAAGUGUUAGAGUUGUGUGUUCGAAUAUUAGGUAGUUUAUCUAUAUGUAAAAGUUGUUGUAUUAAUUUUAUUUUAAUAGUAUAAAGUAUAUCAAAUUAAAAACGUAUUUGAGAGAAGAUAGGUAUAUAGGUGGAGAGGAAAGAAGCAAAAUGCUUCAGUUUCUCACUAUCAAUUUUAAUAAUUUAUCACUAUUAUUUUGAUAAUUUAUUAUUAUUAUUAUUAUUAUUAUAUAUAUAAAAAAAUAAUUAAUAAUAUAUAGUUAUUAUAUAUAUAUAUAUAUAUAUAUAUAUAUAAAUAAUAAAAAAUACAGGGAUACCGUGACACUAUUAUUAUUAACGUUAAUAUCACUGUUUCUGUUAUUGUUAAUGUCACUAUUUCUGUUGACAAGAAUAAGAAUUAUACAACGAUGAGAGUGAUGUUAUUAAUAAUGUUAAUGUCACUGUUUAUGUUAUUGUUAACGUAAUUGUUUCUGUUGACAGGAAUAAGAAUUAUACAACAGUGAUGAGAAGAUAGUUAUAACACUUAGUAGAGAGGAGAGCUGUGACUUACACUGAUAGUGGAAUGUUACGAUGAUUGGUGAUGGUAUUCACUCCACUAUCAUCUCCAUUAAUGUCAGCGUCUCGAAAAAUAAUUUGAUGUCAUUCUACUACUCUUACAACCCCUUCUAUAUUAUCUUUCCAUUUACUUAAAAUACAUGUUGCAACUACCUUAAUCAUUAUAAUGGAAAAAAACAAAUAAUAUGUACGAUAAUUCUCAAAAUUUAAUAUUUUUUUUAAUUAAUAAUGAAUCAUCUUACAAAAUAUUAUGUGGACCUUAAAAUAUUAAUAAUAAUUAAUAAUAUAUAGUUAUUAUUAUUAUUAUUAUAUAAAAAAAUAAUUAAUAAUAUAUAGUUAUUAUAUAUAUAUAUAUAAAAAUACAGAGAUGCCGUGACACUAUUAUUAUUAACGUUAACAUCACUAUUUCUGUUAUUGUUAAUGUCACUGUUUCUGUUGACAGGAGUAAGAAUUAUACAACAGUCAUGAGAGCGAUGUUAUUAAUAAUGUUAAUGUCAGUGUUUCUGUUGACAGGAGUAAAAACUAUACAACAGUGAUGAGAGCGAUAGUUAUAACACUUAAUUUGAUCAUGCAACGUUAUGGGACAUUUCUAAAAAAGGAAUAGUUAUUUAUAGAGAGUUGUGACUUGCACUGAUAAGUGGAAAUAAUUGGUGAUGAUAUUCACUCCACUAUCAUCUCCAUUAACGUUAGUGUCUGUAAAAAUAAUUUGAAAAAAAAAAUAAUAUGUACGAUAAUUCUCAAAAUUUAAUUUAUUUUUUUAAUUAAUAAUGAACAUCUUACGUAGUUGUGAUACAUUUUACUUUUUCUAUACGAAGAUGAUAGGAGUUUAGGAUUCAUAGCAUCUUACAUUUCUUUUAGGAACACUGUCGAGUUAAAAAAUAUCAAGCAAUGGCUCUAGGUACAUACAUCUAUUAUUUUGUAAAUAUUUUUUCUCUCUUUUCUUUUGUAUGCAUACAUAAAAAAUAAAAAAAAGAUAUCGUGUGAAAGCAAGUGUGAACGUGCAUUCGUGCACUCACGAACAUAUAAAUUUCUACAACUAAAAAACUAUACUUUAAACAUUUGUACUAUUAUAAAAAAUUGGUUUUGCUCAAGAUAUAUAUAUAUAUAUAUAUAUAUAUAUAUAUAUAUAUAUAUAUAUAUAUAUAUACCACACUAUGUGGUAAGAGCUAAUCCGGAUGGAUAAGGGAUUUAUUCAAAUAGGACUAAAAAGUCUUUAAAAAAAUUAAGUUGAAAUUACGGCUGACUCAUUUAAGUUAACUCAUUUUGACAGAUCUAACUCUCUCUCUCCACUUUUUGUAGGUCCUACACAAUAAAUUAUAUUAAAAUAAAUUAAUGUUGAAAUAUAGUGAUAUAGAGUUAUUAGUGGGACUUGUUUAUUAAUUUUUUGAGGUGUUAAAUUUGAAAGAUGGAAUACUUAUUAAAGAUUAUUAAAUAAGUCGUGUGUACAUAUAACACUCAUUUAAGCAUCCAAACAUCGAAGUUUCUUACAUCCCAUGUAUCCGUAUCCUCGUCCGUUUUGCAUCCCUAUUUACAAGUCAUAAUACAUUUUUAACAGACUUCUUAAAUAUUGAUCUUUGUCUUGCUUUUACUAGGAUAUUUAGAAUAAAUAAAAAUUGGAUCAUACUGAUUUGUUAAGCAAUCAAAAAUAAAAUAAAAGUAAUAACUAUUUUAUAUAUAAAAAGAAUCUUUUUAAAAUUUCAAAACAUUAAUUAUACAAAUUUCAAAAUAUUAAUUAGUUUUCCUUUAAAUUGUUUAACAAUUAUACUAAAGGCAAUUAUUAGUAUCUUUCAUAAAAAAUUUAAUGAACGAAAUUAUUUAUCCAUCAAAUAGUCAAUCAAGCUUUGCAACGCCCUACAAUAACUACGUUAAUUAAUCAUAGUACUGUCUUGGAUUGGACCAAAAUAUAAACCAACUCUAGCUUAGACAGUAAUCACACAGUUACAUUUCUCGUGAUUAACCAGAGAAAUGAUUUUUUGGGAAGAGGCAUAAGAUAAGCACUAUGUGUUUCUUUGACCAAAUCAUGUUCAUUACAGUAUAAGAGUCAAUUUCCAUCAAAAUUAUAGUAAAUACAAUUUACAGAUCAUUCGGACACCGUAAACUAGCUCUUCAAGUUUAGCUAAUGUAGAGGUAGUUCCAUAGAGAAUACUAAAGAAACCACAAACAAAACUUCUAUAUAAUAUAUGAUAUGCUCUCCACAAGCGAUGUGUGUUGUGUUGCGAUAAAAACCAUCAAUAUUGUGUUUGAAAGAAUUAACGUUAGAAGGAUAUCAUUUAACAUUAAUCUCCCUCUUUCUACAUAAAAAAAUGAUAAAGAUGGCCAUGAAUAGAGAAAAAUUAUUUAUUGAAAGUUUGCAUUAAUUGUUCAGAUCAAAAUUCUGAAAAAACUAAUUGGUUCGGUAAUAAAGUUCUCCCAAAGAUUAUGUAUCACAUAGUAAUAAAGUUCUCCCAAAGAUUAUGUAUCACAUCACAAUCUCUAACCAGAUGCAUAGUGGUUUAUAGAGUUUGGGAGCAUUUGAAGCAAACUGUCUAACAUACAACAAUGAUGAGAGCGAUAAUUAUAACACUUAAUUAUAUCAUAUAUCAUAGAGAAGUUUAUAUUUGUGGUUUCGUAUUCUCUAUGGAACUACCUCUACGUUAGGAACUAGCUUAUGGUUUCCAAAUUGUAUUUACUAUAAUUUUGAUGGAAAUGGACUCUUAUACUGUAAUGAACAUGAAACACAUAGUGUCUAUCUUAUGCCUCUUCCCAAAAAUUCAUUUCUCUUGUUGAUCACGAGAAAUGGAACUGUGUGAUUAAUCACGUUACCGAUUAACAUGAUUCUCUCAUGUUUUAGUAUUGUUGACAUGCCUAUUCUGUAUUUCAAUUAGUUACUUCUCAUUGUCCUUGAUGAUGUUCGUAGAUGAAUGUCUUUAUCUCAUUAUAUCAUUAUAUCCUUUAAGUUUUUGUAAUUUUUCAUUUUAUAUAAAAAAUCAUAAUUUUGGGUCCGUCGGUGCACGUGAGUCUAUUAUUUACUUAUCAAUAACAUGUCAAAAAUGAGAUAUUACUCUUUCAUUUUCUACCCCUAGAUUUUUUUGCCUCUUUUUAAAUACUCGUUCUAUUUUAUAAUGAAUGUCAUUUUAGUAAAAAAAAUUUAUUAUAAAAUUAAUAUUAUUUUUAUUUUUUGAUGUAAUUUUAAUUGUACCAUUCAAUUAUUUCUACAACUUACACUUUUUAUUUUAUAAAAAAGAUUUAAAAUGGAUAGAUAGUGUCCCAAUCUAAAACACAAAAGACGUUAAGUUUUAUUGAACACUUGCCAAUAUUAAAUUUAUUUUAUAUAUAUAUAUAUAUAUAUAUAUAUAAAUAUAUAUAUAUAAUAGUGAAAACAUACCACAAUAAUUAAAAAAAAUCUGAUAAUUUUUUAUUUAUUUAUUUAUAACUUUUAUUUUUGGUGAAAUUUAUUUAUAGUUCUUAAUAUAAAUAAAAUGAAUAAAAGUAGGGAUAGACGGACAAUAGUAGCUAUUAGAUGCUGAGAGUGGUAUUAAUAUGAGCAAAAGAGCGCUAUGUAUUAAUUAUAAAAAGUAGAAGAGGAAAACAGAGUACAUAAUAAGACAACACCAACCGAAGCA
This 39671-nucleotide long non-coding RNA is filed under the name Cicer arietinum (chickpea). RNAcentral describes it as "long non-coding RNA (CARI_LNC002141)". The record is from RNAcentral. Lineage: Eukaryota; Viridiplantae; Streptophyta; Magnoliopsida; Fabales; Fabaceae.